UCCGGGUUUCGCCCGGCAGUCUCCCUAGAAUAUUCAACUAAGGACAGGGGUUGCGCUCGUUGCGGGACUUAAGCCAACACCUCACGGCACGAGCUGACGACAGCCAUGCAGCACCUGUGCAAGUUCUCGACUGGUUACGAGUCGUCACCCUUUCAGGUUCCUACUUCAAGCAUGUCAAGCCUGGGUAAGGUUCUUCGCGUAGCAUCGAAUUGAACCACAUGUUCCACCGCUUGUGCUGGCCCCCGUCAAUUCCUUUGAGUUUUAAUCUUGCGACCGUACUCCCCAGGCGGGGCGCUUAAUGCGUUUGCUGCGGCACAGAACUCGUGGAAUGAGCCCCACACCUAGCGCCCAACGUUUACGGCAUGGACUAC
This 371-nucleotide unclassified non-coding RNA is filed under the name uncultured bacterium. Its description in RNAcentral is "contains 16S-23S intergenic spacer region". The record is from RNAcentral.